Long non-coding RNA from Ooceraea biroi (clonal raider ant), 288 nucleotides. RefSeq lists it as uncharacterized. The record is from RefSeq and is a predicted model, not a curated record. Lineage: Eukaryota; Metazoa; Arthropoda; Insecta; Hymenoptera; Formicidae.
AAUGCCGUCACUUUGCUAGCGUCACUCUAGUACGUUACACUGUCUUAUCGUGUACUAUUAUCAGUGUGAAUUAUUAAUAGCUACGAGUAGUAGUAUAGCAAAGAUAUUUCUUGGUACUUCGGAUCUUUUGUAGAAAAUAUGUAGAAAAUACGCACACGUUUAUGUAUUACAUUAUUCAACUUCUUUAUUGAAACAGACCUCCCUUGAAAAACAAAGAUUUUAAAAAAGGUGCACAAUACUAUGUAUGCUUGUUAUUAAAAUGAGAAUAAAAUAAAAUAUUUAUUUAAA